GUGCCUAUGGUGUAAUGGUUAGCACUGACCCCUGUGGAGGGUCCAGCAUGGGUUCGAAUCCCAUUAGGCACCCCA
Molecule: transfer RNA, 75 nt
Filed under: Patescibacteria group bacterium
Lineage: Bacteria
Description: tRNA-His
Rfam family: tRNA
About the family: Transfer RNA (tRNA) molecules are approximately 80 nucleotides in length. Their secondary structure includes four short double-helical elements and three loops (D, anti-codon, and T loops). Further hydrogen bonds mediate the characteristic L-shaped molecular structure. tRNAs have two regions of fundamental functional importance: the anti-codon, which is responsible for specific mRNA codon recognition, and the 3' end, to which the tRNAs corresponding amino acid is attached (by aminoacyl-tRNA synthetases). tRNAs cope with the degeneracy of the genetic code in two manners: having more than one tRNA (with a specific anti-codon) for a particular amino acid; and 'wobble' base-pairing, i.e. permitting non-standard base-pairing at the 3rd anti-codon position.
Source: RNAcentral